AAAUAUAUGAUAUAAAUGAAGUUGUAACGUCCAAUUUUUCAUAGUAAAAUACUAUUAAAAUGAAUAUUACAUAUAUCAUAAAUAACUAUUAUAAGAAACAAAUUUACGAAAGAUCAUAUCUACACUUGUAGAUUUGUCCAAUUUCUCUAUUGAUUCCCUCGACCACCUAUCGCUGAAGUAACUGAAAGAACUGUCUCCAUAAGUUCACACCAAUCAAGUGAUCAUUGCAAAAGAGAAAACAUAUAAGGACAGACAAGAGAAAAGCAAGGGUAAGCUAGAUAUAAAAGAAUUCAUACAAUUAUUUCACAUAACACAUUCACAUAAUUAUUUAAGCAAGAUAAACUAAUUCAGACAUCCUAACAUGUUAUGACUUAGACUUGACCUUCCGGACUUAGAAUGAUUGCUGAGCUAUGGCGGGUCAUGCACUCGUGGUGACCUCUACUGCUUUGCAAAGCCAGUGCUAAUGGAUUUCACCCUACCACACUCACAAGGUUAGUCUGUUCCGGACCUUAAGGCAUACUGGAAGCCCCAAGACUAAGACCUCCUGCUACUCCUCACGACAUGGUUCAAUCCUCUCUACUUGAGAAUGAAAGACCAUUGGAGUUUCAGGAUAACCCCCAAAGACUGAGCUUCCUGUGUAACAUCCCAAUAAUUAUAGUAUUGAACUAUAAUAUAGUUAUUACAUCCUUGAUAUGAUAGAACAAUUAUAGAAACGAGGAAUAAAAGUUUUCCUCAAUUUUAUACAAAUUAUCACUCAAAUUUUAAACUUAAUACAAUCUAAACAUAAAACGAUUAAAAACAAGGAUCUCGUCCAUAUAAGUUAAACACUAGUUAAUCCUCCAUCUAACGCCUGUUCCACCAGCAUCUCAUCACCUUAUGCUCACACCCACCAGAUGAUCAUCGCGGAGAGAAAACACACAACAUAACAAUAACAACCAAACAACAGAUAAAGUAAGGGUGAGCUAAUGCAACAAAAAUAACGUGGUAUAUUUAAAUUAAUAACAUAAUUUCUAACUUAUAAGUCAAAUCACAUCUCAUCACCUUCUGCUCACACCCACCGGAUGAUCAUUGCUGAGAGAAAACACACAACACAACAAUAACAACCAAACAACAACUAAUUUAAAAGAAUUAACUAGCUCCCUUCACCUCAAAAUGGAACUGCCCAGCUCAUAAGACUACCUCCAUAGCACUUUACACCGCAAGGAACUCACAAAGUCCUUCAAACCACCAAAAUUGUUAUGGAAACAACUUUUAGAGUUCAAAAUUUAGCAGAGGAUAGAAAAGGAAAAACACUAGACACAUGCAACCAACAAAGGUUGCAUGUCCCAGUUCAAGAACGACGGAGAACUGGACAGAGCCACUUACUUGACUAAGACCCAAAACUGAUCGACCGGUUUUUAAGCUCUCUACGGUGCGGUUACUAGGGCGCCACCUGAUCGAAAACCCAGUGGCUUAGUGAAAUGUAAUGGAAGAGAGAAGGUAGAGAAAAUGAAGAACAAGUUUUUUAGAGAGAGAUGGGGUUUAAGCUAAUGCACCAAAAUGUUAUAAAAUCUGCUUUUAUGUUCUGUGUGUUUUAAAAGUCUGGUCUCAUUAACUUAGAGCACUUAUCAGCUCUUGACAAAUAUUUUCAGUUCCUCACAGAUGUAAUGUGGAAUAAAAUAUGAAUUAAGUUGGAAUGUAUAUAAAUAAAAUAUAUGAUAAUUACGUGUGAUAUAUGUGUUGAAUUGGAAACAUAAUUAUAUGUUUGUAUUGAAUUUGAUAUUUUAUAUGAGAUAUUAGAUACUGAAUUCACAUGAAGAAAAAUAUU
Molecule: long non-coding RNA, 1807 nt
Filed under: Vigna radiata
Lineage: Eukaryota; Viridiplantae; Streptophyta; Magnoliopsida; Fabales; Fabaceae
Description: long non-coding RNA (VRAD_LNC011096)
Source: RNAcentral